This 1016-nucleotide ribosomal RNA is filed under the name uncultured bacterium. RNAcentral's name for it is "bacterial SSU rRNA". It matches the Rfam family "Bacterial small subunit ribosomal RNA", at positions 357 to 1376 of the family's 1533-position model. The record is from RNAcentral.
AGGAAUAUUGGUCAAUGGGCGCGAGCCUGAACCAGCCAAGUAGCGUGAAGGAUGAAGGUCCUACGGAUUGUAAACUUCUUUUAUAAGGGAAUAAAGUCACCCACGUGUGGGUGUUUGUAUGUACCUUAUGAAUAAGCAUCGGCUAACUCCGUGCCAGCAGCCGCGGUAAUACGGAGGAUGCGAGCGUUAUCCGGAUUUAUUGGGUUUAAAGGGAGCGUAGACGGGCCGUUAAGUCAGCUGUGAAAGUUUGAGGCUCAACCUUAAAAUUGCAGUUGAUACUGGCGUCCUUGAGUACGGUUGAGGCAGGCGGAAUUCGUGGUGUAGCGGUGAAAUGCUUAGAUAUCACGAAGAACCCCGAUUGCGAAGGCAGCCUGCUAAACCGCCACUGACGUUGAGGCUCGAAAGUGUGGGUAUCAAACAGGAUUAGAUACCCUGGUAGUCCACACGGUAAACGAUGGAUACUCGCUGUUGGCGAUAGACUGUCAGCGGCUUAGCGAAAGCGUUAAGUAUCCCACCUGGGGAGUACGCCGGCAACGGUGAAACUCAAAGGAAUUGACGGGGGCCCGCACAAGCGGAGGAACAUGUGGUUUAAUUCGAUGAUACGCGAGGAACCUUACCCGGGCUUGAAUUGCAGACGAAUUGCUUGGAAACAGGCAAGCCGCAAGGCGUCUGUGAAGGUGCUGCAUGGUUGUCGUCAGCUCGUGCCGUGAGGUGUCGGCUUAAAUGCCAUAACGAGCGCAACCCUCGUGUCCAGUUACUAGCAGGUUAUGCUGAGGACUCUGGACAGACUGCCAUCGUAAGAUGUGAGGAAGGUGGGGAUGACGUCAAAUCAGCACGGCCCUUACGUCCGGGGCUACACACGUGUUACAAUGGGGGGUACAGCAGGCAGCUACCGGGCGACCGGAUGCCAAUCCCGAAAGCCUCUCUCAGUUCGGACUGGAGUCUGCAACCCGACUCCACGAAGCUGGAUUCGCUAGUAAUCGCGCAUCAGCCACGGCGCGGUGAAUACGUUCCCG